GUCCGGUAUGCUCAAUGGAUGGGCGUUUGUCUGCAAAACAUACGUAAUCGGUUCGAUUCCGAUACCGGACUCUA
This 74-nucleotide transfer RNA is filed under the name Emticicia agri. RNAcentral describes it as "Emticicia sp. 17J42-9 tRNA-Cys". It matches the Rfam family "tRNA". From Rfam's summary of the family: Transfer RNA (tRNA) molecules are approximately 80 nucleotides in length. Their secondary structure includes four short double-helical elements and three loops (D, anti-codon, and T loops). The record is from RNAcentral. Lineage: Bacteria; Pseudomonadati; Bacteroidota; Cytophagia; Cytophagales; Leadbetterellaceae.